Pelobates cultripes (western spadefoot toad) is the source of this 1042-nucleotide non-coding RNA. NCBI's taxonomy places the organism in Eukaryota, Metazoa, Chordata, Amphibia, Anura, Pelobatidae. The record is from the annotation of a GenBank genome assembly.
CUGGAUCGGGAGUAAUGGACAGGGGGUCGGGGACACCUGAGGCAUUUCUCUGAGUGUUUCCCACGCUAGUAAUGUUUCAGCCACCGGUCCUUCCUCUCCCCUCCUGCUGCCCCUGGUUGUUCUCCUCAGCCAAACCGCUGCCUUUAGUUUUGCAGCCUCUCCCAUCCGAUCCAGAGUUACCCAUUGUUUACUCGUAUCUGUUUCGUGCCAUUCCAGGAUCCUUUGUAGGACUGUUGCCUGGUGGUACUUUUUAAAAUCCGGUAGGGCUAGGCCCCCUCUGUGUCUUGGUAAGCAUAGGAUGUCAUGGCGUAGCCUGGAUCGUUCCCCCCUCCAGACAUGGGGGAUAUAUAAAUUAUCCCACUUGGGCAGGUUAGAAGCCAUCAAUCUAAUUAAUCUCCCAGAUAUUAACGUCGUCUUUCAUUGCAUUUCCCUUCCUAUCCAAAAAAAUUAAAUAAUAUUCUGCAACAUAGAAUCUAAAUGUUUUUUUUAUUUAUUGUAGCGGAACUCAGUAGUACAAUAUAAAGACAGCAUAAAUUGCCACACUUAUAAAUAUAAGCUAAUGACUAUAAGCAUAAAAAAGUUAAAGCAGAAUAUACUGCUGAGAUCAGAUUGCCAUAACCGCAGAAUCCGCCAGGGCCCCUGACACAGCUCAAUGUCUGGGCACCCGGGAGCCUGGCCCAUAGUCCACCCACAGGGCCUGCCCCGAGUUCACCCUCGAGAAUGAAGUGUGUGUGUGUGUGUGUAUAUUGGAUGUAGAAUGUGUAUAGCGGAUGCAGAUUGUACGUUUUCUGUAAUGUUUGUAUGCAUUAGAUGCAGAGUGUGUGUGUGUAUGUAGGUGUGUAUAGUGUUUGAGGCAGAGUGGGUAUUUGUGUUUAUUGAAUGUAUUGUGUGUGUGUUUGCAGUGAGUGCACAGUGUGUAUAGUUAAUGUGGGUGGGUGUGUGUGGCGCGAGUGCAGCGUAUGUGAUGGUAAGGAUGCAGAGUGUGUAUGUGUAUAUUUUUACAUUUAUUUGUGAAUAUUUUUAUUUUAUUCCCCCCUCUGUG